CCUACGGGUGGCUGCAGUAAGGAAUAUUGGUCAAUGGACGAAAGUCUGAACCAGCCAUCCCGCGUGCAGGAUGAAAGCCCUAUGGGUUGUAAACUGCUUUUAGCAGAGAAGAAAAGCUUUCAUUAAUGAGAGUCUGACGGUAUCUGCAGAAUAAGCACCGGCUAACUCCGUGCCAGCAGCCGCGGUAAUACGGAGGGUGCGAGCGUUAUCCGGAUUAAAGGGUGUUAAGGGGUACUAAUAAGGAGUAUUUGAAAUCUUGUCGCUUAACGAUAAAAUUGCCAAGGAUACUGGUACUCUUGAAUUGGGUUGAGGUUAGCGGAAUGUGACAUGGAGCGGUGAAAUGCAUAGAUAUGUCAUGGAACACCAAUUGCGAAGGCAGCUAACUGGGCCUUGAUUGACGCUGAGGCACGAAAGCGUGGGUAGCGAACAGGAUUAGAUACCCGAGUAGUC
This 450-nucleotide ribosomal RNA is filed under the name uncultured bacterium. RNAcentral's name for it is "partial 16S ribosomal RNA". It matches the Rfam family "Bacterial small subunit ribosomal RNA", at positions 338 to 795 of the family's 1533-position model. The record is from RNAcentral.